This 436-nucleotide ribosomal RNA is filed under the name uncultured bacterium. Its description in RNAcentral is "bacterial SSU rRNA". It matches the Rfam family "Bacterial small subunit ribosomal RNA", at positions 30 to 468 of the family's 1533-position model. The record is from RNAcentral.
AUUGAACGCUGGCGGAAUGCUUUACACAUGCAAGUCGAACGGCAGCACGGGGCAACCUGGUGGCGAGUGGCGAACGGGUGAGUAAUACAUCGGAACGUGCCCAAUCGUGGGGGAUAACGUAGCGAAAGUUACGCUAAUACCGCAUACGAUCUACGGAUGAAAGCGGGGGAUCGCAAGACCUCGCGCGAAUGGAGCGGCCGAUGUCAGAUUAGGUAGUUGGUGGGGUAAAGGCUCACCAAGCCGACGAUCUGUAGCUGGUCUGAGAGGACGACCAGCCACACUGGGACUGAGACACGGCCCAGACUCCUACGGGAGGCAGCAGUGGGGAAUUUUGGACAAUGGGCGCAAGCCUGAUCCAGCCAUUCCGCGUGCAGGAUGAAGGCCUUCGGUUGUAAACUAGCUUUGUAGACGAACGGUUACUCUCUAAUUACAGGGG